Meriones unguiculatus (Mongolian gerbil) is the source of this 822-nucleotide long non-coding RNA. RefSeq lists it as uncharacterized. NCBI's taxonomy places the organism in Eukaryota, Metazoa, Chordata, Mammalia, Rodentia, Muridae. The transcript is spliced from 3 exons. The record is from RefSeq and is a predicted model, not a curated record.
GGCUGGGGUGGAUUAAGCAGGGGAGGGAACACGCACCUUUUCCCUGCUGAUCAGCGCAGAGAUCAAAUCUUGAUGGGUGGCUACCUCACGCAUCUCUGUGGUGGAUUGGCUCAGGAUGGACAGGCUUUUGGAGACGUGCCUGUUCAACACCACUUUUUCCUGCUCCUGGUUGAAACGGAUGGAACGCACCUCCUCCACAAUCCUGGGAUUCGUGGUCACCACGACGACAAACAAGUUGAGGCCGAUGAAAGCACCGAUGGUGAUGAAGACGGCAAAGUAGAUGGCGCCUCCGACCUCCAUUGCGUACUCUCUGUCCUCCAUCCUGGGAAUGGCAGCCAGGGGUUUCAUCAUUCCUCUGGCCCUGUAAGCCUCAGUUUGCUCAUCUUUAAGAUGAGAGGAUUACAUACGUGGUCUCAGCAGCUACUCUCCCCUGAGACCUGCUGCGCUGCCAGACGUCGGGGCCAACCCUCCAAGCAGCCCCACGGAGAGGCUUGUGCGUCAGUCGAGUGCAUGUUACAGCUGUACUUACAUAAACAGAAGCGCUCUGUGCCGAGCGCUGGACUACAAGAGUUGUACAGUUUCUAGACUGAUCCUCAUGGCACUCUAUGAGGAACUCCAGUCCUGCCCUAGCCAUGACAAAAUGAAACCCCAGGGCCCCGGCCGUACUCACUGGAAGUCACUGUAGAUGUCCAGCCAUCCAUCCUGGGUGAUGCAGAUGAACAGGGUGUACAGGGCAACCCCCAUGUUCUGGAAAUGCUUGGGCACGAACGCGCCAAAGAGCGUGACCCCAAACACGGAGAACACCUGUCAGAGAGAAGCAAA